Long non-coding RNA from Astatotilapia calliptera (eastern happy), 329 nucleotides. NCBI's taxonomy places the organism in Eukaryota, Metazoa, Chordata, Actinopteri, Cichliformes, Cichlidae. The record is from Ensembl.
CAGUGUUUGAGCAGUUAUGAUAUCAGGGACAAUCUAGACAUGUGUGACAAUACUGAACAUGUCACAUGACACACCUCAAACAUCAUGUGAUCCACUCUCAGUCUGCACUUUCAUUCAUGACUUCAACAGGUUGAAAUGAGCUUUGAAGAAACAUUCAGUGAAAUAAAUCUUUCAUCACAGGAUUCAUAUCCCUGCUGUUCCCCAGCUGCCCUGUAGGUGGCCUCAGUGUGUCUCACACCAUUUACAGAUGAUUACAGAUGUUGGACCAAAGUGAAGCUUUAGUUUGGGCAGCUGCUGAAGGAGAGGAACAUUGCGUUCAGGUCUGGCAA